Molecule: ribosomal RNA, 1264 nt
Filed under: Bacillus sp. (in: firmicutes)
Lineage: Bacteria; Bacillati; Bacillota; Bacilli; Caryophanales; Bacillaceae
Description: bacterial SSU rRNA
Rfam family: Bacterial small subunit ribosomal RNA
Source: RNAcentral
UGUUAGCGGCGGACGGGUGAGUAACACGUGGGUAACCUGCCUGUAAGACUGGGAUAACUCCGGGAAACCGGAGCUAAUACCGGAUAGUUCCUUGAACCGCAUGGUUCAAGGAUGAAAGACGGUUUCGGCUGUCACUUACAGAUGGACCCGCGGCGCAUUAGCUAGUUGGUGGGGUAAUGGCUCACCAAGGCGACGAUGCGUAGCCGACCUGAGAGGGUGAUCGGCCACACUGGGACUGAGACACGGCCCAGACUCCUACGGGAGGCAGCAGUAGGGAAUCUUCCGCAAUGGACGAAAGUCUGACGGAGCAACGCCGCGUGAGUGAUGAAGGUUUUCGGAUCGUAAAGCUCUGUUGUUAGGGAAGAACAAGUGCGAGAGUAACUGCUCGCACCUUGACGGUACCUAACCAGAAAGCCACGGCUAACUACGUGCCAGCAGCCGCGGUAAUACGUAGGUGGCAAGCGUUGUCCGGAAUUAUUGGGCGUAAAGGGCUCGCAGGCGGUUUCUUAAGUCUGAUGUGAAAGCCCCCGGCUCAACCGGGGAGGGUCAUUGGAAACUGGGAAACUUGAGUGCAGAAGAGGAGAGUGGAAUUCCACGUGUAGCGGUGAAAUGCGUAGAGAUGUGGAGGAACACCAGUGGCGAAGGCGACUCUCUGGUCUGUAACUGACGCUGAGGAGCGAAAGCGUGGGGAGCGAACAGGAUUAGAUACCCUGGUAGUCCACGCCGUAAACGAUGAGUGCUAAGUGUUAGGGGGUUUCCGCCCCUUAGUGCUGCAGCUAACGCAUUAAGCACUCCGCCUGGGGAGUACGGUCGCAAGACUGAAACUCAAAGGAAUUGACGGGGGCCCGCACAAGCGGUGGAGCAUGUGGUUUAAUUCGAAGCAACGCGAAGAACCUUACCAGGUCUUGACAUCCUCUGACAACCCUAGAGAUAGGGCUUUCCCUUCGGGGACAGAGUGACAGGUGGUGCAUGGUUGUCGUCAGCUCGUGUCGUGAGAUGUUGGGUUAAGUCCCGCAACGAGCGCAACCCUUGAUCUUAGUUGCCAGCAUUCAGUUGGGCACUCUAAGGUGACUGCCGGUGACAAACCGGAGGAAGGUGGGGAUGACGUCAAAUCAUCAUGCCCCUUAUGACCUGGGCUACACACGUGCUACAAUGGACAGAACAAAGGGCUGCAAGACCGCAAGGUUUAGCCAAUCCCAUAAAUCUGUUCUCAGUUCGGAUCGCAGUCUGCAACUCGACUGCGUGAAGCUGGAAUCGCUAGUAA